This 327-nucleotide long non-coding RNA is filed under the name Nicotiana benthamiana. Its description in RNAcentral is "long non-coding RNA (NBEN_LNC008216)". Lineage: Eukaryota; Viridiplantae; Streptophyta; Magnoliopsida; Solanales; Solanaceae. The record is from RNAcentral.
GAAACCGGUCCGGGACCCCCCUCCCCUUCACCAGCCUGAACAAACUUGACACCUGGACGAACCACAAUUCCCUCACCACCAGGUGGCUGCCAAAUCUCAGGUGGGUCCCCCCCAUAGUUAUUACUAGAAGACAUGCUGAUUUUCCCUUUGUUCUUAUUACUCUUCCUAUUUGAAUAUCCAUAGUUACUACUAGAAGACAUGCUGAAUUUCCCUUUAUUCUUAUUAUUAUUCUUCCUAGUUGAAUAAUUCUGUGAACUUUUGAAUUCACCAAGAAAUGAAACAGGCUUGAAUAAAGAAGAAUUAUGAGGAGCAGACGAGUUCGAGAGC